RNAcentral lists this non-coding RNA (428 nucleotides) under Pongo abelii (Sumatran orangutan). The record is from RNAcentral. Lineage: Eukaryota; Metazoa; Chordata; Mammalia; Primates; Hominidae.
CGGCGGCUGUUAAAACCGGCGCGCGGGUUCCCAACUUCGCAGAAGCAGUUCAUCGGCCCUCCGCUGGAGACCUCAGACCGCAGCCAUCGACGCCCCGCCUCGGGGGUCUGUCCCCACCCUCGGGGCCAGCUUCUUCGGUAGUCACUUCGUACAUAGUGAUUCAUGAUGCGAAGUCCCUCUGUUGAAAUAACUGACGAGGCCUCUGUCUUCUGACUGUACUCUGACUUCCAUGCUCUUUCCACCCUCACUCGAGUACAUGCCCAGUCCCCAAUCUGUGGUGCUCCAGGCGUUGCCUCUGUGGCGCUGUGUCCCCUCCUUUGAACUCUGAUCCUUCUGCUCAGGCCCUUUCUCCCAGUCUGAAGUAAGGAGUGAAAAAAUGUGAAUUAUUCUACUCAUCUGGAAAAGAGAACCCUGAGGCAGGAACAAGU